RNAcentral lists this unclassified non-coding RNA (233 nucleotides) under Hevea brasiliensis (rubber tree). Lineage: Eukaryota; Viridiplantae; Streptophyta; Magnoliopsida; Malpighiales; Euphorbiaceae. The record is from RNAcentral.
AAAGUUUUAUUCAUUCAUUCAUGAGCAUCAAGCAUACACUUUCUUUUUUCAUUGGUUUGAAAUUUAUGCUUUUGAAAAUAAUCUGGAAUAUCCUUUUGCUGAAAAAUCCCUAAACCCACUAUCUGAAACCCCCUCUUGGAAAACUUCAAAGAAUGAAUGGAUUCAGUCUGUUCAUCCACUACUCAGAGAACUCCAAAUUAAACACCACAAAGCCACACUCAUAGCCCUUUAAA